RNAcentral lists this transfer RNA (68 nucleotides) under Marmota monax (woodchuck). RNAcentral's name for it is "tRNA.Ser". Lineage: Eukaryota; Metazoa; Chordata; Mammalia; Rodentia; Sciuridae. The record is from RNAcentral.
GGAUUGUGGCUCAGCGGUAGACCACUCACCUACUACAUGCAAGGCCCUGGGUUCGAUCCUCAGCACCA